RNAcentral lists this ribosomal RNA (460 nucleotides) under uncultured bacterium. RNAcentral describes it as "partial 16S ribosomal RNA". It matches the Rfam family "Bacterial small subunit ribosomal RNA", at positions 338 to 795 of the family's 1533-position model. The record is from RNAcentral.
CCUACGGGAGGCAGCAGUGAGGAAUAUUGGUCAAUGGGCGCUAGCCUGAACCAGCCAAGUAGCGUGAAGGAUGACUGCCCUAUGGGUUGUAAACUUCUUUUAUAUGGGGAUAAAGUUCAGUAUGUAUACUGCUUUGCAUGUACCUUAUGCAUAAGGAUCGGCUAACUCCGUGCCAGCAGCCGCGGUAAUACGGAGGAUCCGAGCGUUAUCCGGAUUUAUUGGGUUGAAAGGAAGCGUAGGCGGGUUGUUAAGUCAGUUGUGAAAGUUUGGGGCUCAACCGUAGAAUUGCAGUGGAUACUGGCAUGCUAGAGUACAGUAGAGGGAGGCGGAAUUCGUGGUGUAGCGGUGAAAUGCUUAGAGAUCACGAAGAACUCCGAUUGCGAAGGCAGCCUGCUGGACUGUAACUGACGCUGAUGCGCGAAAGUGUGGGUAUCAAACAGGAUUAGAUACCCUUGUAGUC